GAUGAACGCUAGCUACAGGCUUAACACAUGCAAGUCGAGGGGCAUCAGGAACAAAGCUUGCUUUGUUUGCUGGCGACCGGCGCACGGGUGAGUAACGCGUAUCCGACCUACCCAUAACUCGGGCACAGCCGCUCGAAAGAGCGAUUGAUUCCCGAUAUGUCCUUGGAGUAGAUUCAAUGAUGAAAGAUUUAUCGGUUAUGGAUGGGGAUGCGUAAGAUUAGGUAGUAGGCGGGGUAACGGCCCACCUAGCCGACGAUCUUUAGGGGUUCUGAGAGGAAGGUCCCCCACACUGGUACUGAGACACGGACCAGACUCCUACGGGAGGCAGCAGUGAGGAAUAUUGGUCAAUGGGCGGAAGCCUGAACCAGCCAAGUAGCGUGAAGGAUGAAGGUUCUAUGGAUUGUAAACUUCUUUUAUACGGGAAUAACAUCACCUACGUGUAGGUGCCUGCAUGUACCGUAUGAAUAAGCAUCGGCUAACUCCGUGCCAGCAGCCG
RNAcentral lists this ribosomal RNA (496 nucleotides) under uncultured bacterium. RNAcentral's name for it is "bacterial SSU rRNA". It matches the Rfam family "Bacterial small subunit ribosomal RNA", at positions 28 to 517 of the family's 1533-position model. The record is from RNAcentral.